Molecule: ribosomal RNA, 320 nt
Filed under: Thecofilosea sp.
Lineage: Eukaryota; Cercozoa; Thecofilosea
Description: SSU rRNA
Rfam family: Eukaryotic small subunit ribosomal RNA (bases 109-320)
Source: RNAcentral
GAUUUCUGGCUGUUCGUGUCUGACCCGCCGCGGUUACGUGGUUGUGUGUCGGGUUACGUUCGCCAUCUUUUCAGAGAAGCUUAUCUUUCGUAAGAGAGGUAAGUGAUUCUGAAUCUUUUACUUUGAAAAAAUUAGAGUGUUUAAAGCAAGCAUUUUGCUAUGAAUAUUACAGCAUGGAAUAAUAAUUUAGGACUUUGGUUCUAUUUUGUUGGUUUCUAGAACUGAAGUAAUGAUUGAUAGGGACAGUUGGGGGUGCUAGUAUUCAGCGGCCAGAGGUGAAAUUCUUGGAUUCGCUGAAGACUAACUUAUGCGAAAGCAUU